GAUGAACGCUGGCGGCGUGCCUAAUACAUGCAAGUCGAGCGAAUGGAUUAAGAGCUUGCUCUUAUGAAGUUAGCGGCGGACGGGUGAGUAACACGUGGGUAACCUGCCCAUAAGACUAGGAUAACCCCGGGAAACCGGGGCUAAUACCGGAUAACAUUUUGAACCGCAUGGUUCGAAAUUGAAAGGCGGCUUCGGCUGUCACUUAUGGAUGGACCCGCGUCGGAUUAGCUAGUUGGUGAGGUAACGGCUCACCAAGGCAACGAUGCGUAGCCGACCUGAGAGGGUGAUCGGCCACACUGGACUGAGACACGGCCCAGACUCCUACGGGAGGCAGCAGUAGGGAAUCUUCCGCAAUGGACGAAAGUCUGACGGAGCAACGCCGCGUGAGUGAUGAAGGCUUUCGGGUCGUAAAACUCUGUUGUUAGGGAAGAACAAGUGCUAGUUGAAUAAGCUGGCACCUUGACGGUACCUAACCAGAAAGCCACGGCUAACUACGUGCCAGCCGCCGCCGUAA
Molecule: ribosomal RNA, 514 nt
Filed under: uncultured bacterium
Lineage: Bacteria
Description: partial 16S ribosomal RNA
Rfam family: Bacterial small subunit ribosomal RNA
Source: RNAcentral